Molecule: long non-coding RNA, 382 nt
Organism: Lolium rigidum
Lineage: Eukaryota; Viridiplantae; Streptophyta; Magnoliopsida; Poales; Poaceae
Exons: 3
Source: RefSeq, a predicted model, not a curated record
CCGUGUCCUCUGUACCUCUGGCAGCCUAGAAACCAGCGGUAAUCUAUUUGGAAUUGCCCCUUCAGCACCUCCUGCUGGCAAGCUGUCGGUGUUCAGCUAGACAUCAGCAAUCACAUGAUCAGCAUGGCCUAAAUCGCCUUCAGCAAAAGCCUUUCUUCAUGGGACAUUUGGAAAAAAAAGGAACAUGGCUCUUGCUAUUUUUUAGUGAUAUAUGAGUGAUAUCAUCGACUUUUAAUGGUAGAAAAAAUCUGACUUGUGACGUCCCUUGAAAAUUGUUUUGGAGACAGGCAGGUUGAAAUCUGGAUUCACGAGACCUCUCGCCCCAGCCAUGCUUGAGGUGAUUGAUCCUUUUUGCUGACUGAAUAUUUUUGUCAUUAAACUG